RNA transcript from Acipenser ruthenus (sterlet), 9320 nucleotides. It is a transcript of the gene named protocadherin-related 15b, with no coding region annotated. NCBI's taxonomy places the organism in Eukaryota, Metazoa, Chordata, Actinopteri, Acipenseriformes, Acipenseridae. The record is from RefSeq and is a predicted model, not a curated record. The transcript has 35 exons.
GCUAAAUACAUCCUACAAACAUACUGUAGUAAGUGUAGCCUGCACACACACACUCACGCAGAGCGCAAGCCCCAGAGAGAAGACUGGACAGCACUGCUGAAGCUUCAAUAUUUUUUUUAUGAUUGUUUUUUUUUAUAAUACAAACUUUUCCCGUGCACUUAUUCCUGCAGUAAUUGUUAAGCGGCAUAAACAAAUGAUCUGCAACCAGUCGUUAGCAAGAAAAUCAGAACGGUGUUAUGCGCAGGUCUUCAGAAGCGAUCCUUCACAGAUUAAGAUACUGAAAACGUUUGAAGGACGGCGUUGACGGAUUACAUACUGCACAUAUUAUUUUGUGUUUCUUUGUGCUGCAAAAGUAAAAACAACAUUAAAAACAACAGCAAGAAUACUGUUUGAUAAUUAGACAACUAAGACAUCCAAAUGCAAAUGGAAGAGAGCCAAAAGAUACGUCAAAAUUAGCACAAAGGAAGACGAAGCAGGAGCAAGUGGAGACAAUUAUGCCGUCUGGAUCUCAGGUGGGUACUCAGUAAAGCUUGACGGAAAAUGCGAGAGAGGUCGUGGCUCUUCAAAUGGCUGGGAAUAGGGAUAGGCAUCUUUUCUUUCGUCACCAACAGCAUGUCGCAAGAUAGCACAGAAGAUUGGCAAUAUGAGGAGUGCAAAUUGGCCAGGUCAGGCCCUCCAGCUACAAUAGUUGCCAUUGAUGAAGAAAGUCAAAAUGGUACUCUCCUGGUGGAGAAUAUGCAGAUAAAGGGAAGAGUACAAGGCCCCAAUAAGACAAUUUCAUUAUCUCUGAGGGACAACUAUGAUCAGUGGGUGAUCCUGGAUCCUGUACAACAAAGGCUUUAUCUCAACAGCACUGGUCGAGUUCUGGAUAGAGAUCCUCCCUCAUCUAUCCACUCCAUUGUGGUGCAGGUCCAAUGUACCAAUGAGCUGGUAGGCACUGUCAUUUUCCACGAAGUGCGGAUUGUGGUGAGAGAUCGAAAUGACAAUCCCCCUACCUUCCAGCAACCACGCUACUAUGUAGCAAUUAAUGAGUUGACACCAGUUGGAACCACCAUCUUCACAGGAUUUUCUGGAAAUAAUGGUGCGGCUGACAUAGAUGAUGGACCCAAUGGCCAAAUUGAAUAUAUAAUUCAGUAUAACCCGAAUGAUCCAACAUCUAACGCGACUUUUCACAUUCUACUCACUUUGUCAGGAACGGUAAUUCUCCAAGAGAGACUAAAUUAUGAAGAAAAAACACGCUACUUUGUAAUUGUUCAAGCCAACGACCGUGCUCCGAAUCCAAAUGACAGAAGGACUAGCACUACAACGCUGACAGUUGAUGUGCUGGAUGGGGACGAUCUGGGGCCUAUGUUCCUGCCAUGCAGACUUGUGAACAACACAAGGGACUGUCAUCCUCUGGUUUACAGAGCCAGUAUCCUGGAGCUCACUGACCCAACCAGAAUAAACCCAGUUAAUGUCACUCCGACUAUUCAAGCUGUUGAUCAAGACAGAAACAUCCAGCCACCCUCUGAUCGACCAGGCAUUCUUUACUCCAUCCUUGUCGGAACCCCUGAGAAUUACAUAAACUAUUUCAGUUUAAAUCAGACAACCGCAGAACUUCGCCUCCUCAAGCCAGUCAGCAGGGAUUUAUACCAGAAAUUUGAUUUGGUUAUUAAGGCAGAACAAGACAAUGGACAUCCACUCCCAGCAUUUGCUAAUUUACAUGUAGAGGUCCUCGAUGAAAAUAAUCAAGCCCCAUACUUUGAAUUUUCGACUUAUCAAGGGUAUAUCAUUGAGUCAGCCCCGGUGGGCACAACAAUCUCAAACAGUGGGAAUCUUACAGCACCGCUUAACAUAAUCGCUUUGGAUAACGACAUAGAAGAGACAAAAGACCCCAUGGUUCGAAUUUCCUUAAAUGACUACAACACAGUUUUUACCGUGACUCAGUCUGGAAUAGUCCGCUACUUGACAUUGCUGCAGCCAGUGGAUCGAGAACGUCAGCAGACCUACACUUUAACUAUGAUAGCCUCUGAUGGAGUCCAGGAAAGUACUCCAGUCGCAGUUAAUAUCCUGGUGAUCGAUGCCAACGAUAAAACUCCAACCUUCUCCAACAUCUCCUACAGUGUAAAUGUUUACACAGACAUGCAACCGGGAGAGGCUGUCUUACGGCUCACAGCUUUGGAUGCUGAUGAAGGUUUGAAUGGGCAAAUCACCUAUGAAAUUCUUGCUGGAGCUCAGGGAGAUUUCAUCAUUAAUAACAGGACCGGCCUGAUCACUGUGGCUCCUGGUGUCAAUUUGAUCAUCGGGCGCUCUUAUGCCCUUACUGUCAAAGCAUCAGACAACGCACCUAUUUCUCAGAGGAGGAGCUCCAUAACUACUGUCUAUGUUGAGGUGCUACCACCAAACAAUCAGAGCCCCCCGAGAUUCCCACAGUUCAUGUACAGCCUUGAAGUCAGUGAAGCCAUGAGAACUGGAGCCAUUUUACUGAACUUGCAGGCCACGGACCGUGAAGGUGAUCCUAUAACUUAUCGUAUCCAAAAUGGUGAUCCUCAACGCGUGUUUAACCUCACAAAAAAUGCUGGACUAGUCCUAGGAAAGCCCUUGGACAGAGAGAGUACAGAUCGAUACAUUCUGAUUGUCACAGCGUCAGAUGGCAGACCUGACGGGACCUCUACCACUACUGUGAAUAUCGUUGUCACUGAUGUCAAUGAUAACGAUCCCGUUUUUGAUCCAUUUCUGCCCAAAAACUUCACGGUCCAGGAAGAGGAGGUGAAUGCAUUUGUAGGACAAGUAAAGGCAACUGAUCCAGAUGCGGGUGUGAAUGGGCAGGUCUGGUACAGUUUGGUGAACUUCAAUGGCGUUUUUAGAAUCAAUUCAAACGGCAGCAUUUACACAGCUGUGGCACUGGACCGAGAAACAAAAAGUCAAUAUGAUCUGAUUGUGGAGGCCUCUGAUGGAGCAGUAGACCCUCGCCGGUCCACAAUUACAGUAUCGGUUAGAGUGCUGGAUAUUGAUGACAACAGCCCGGUGUUCUCGCAGGCCUCAUACACAGUCAAUUUACCAGAAAACAGUCCUGUGGGAACAAUCAUUCUAAACUUGAAGGCAAAGGAUGCUGACCUUGAAUCCAAUGUCACUUACCACAUAAGAACACAAGAGGCAAGACAGCUGUUUUCAGUGAACUCUGUGACAGGAGAUUUGUCAGUGUUACAAACUUUAGACUUUGAAACCCUUUCUGCAGCAGGGGCAACUUACACCUUUAUAGUGGAGGCCUUGGACAGCAGUGGCAGCAUGCCACCAGGCCUUGCUACUGUGACAGUGAAAAUAAUGGAUAUGAAUGAUUAUUCCCCUGUAUUUAGGCAAGCUCUCUAUAGGGGAAUGGUGGCACCAAAUGCAGUCAAGGGCACUGUCAUCACAACUGUAUCAGCAGAAGAUCUAGAUCCUCCGGGCACGGCAGCCAGCAGGAUCAGAUACAGAUUGGAUCUGGACAAGUUUCCCUACAGUGGCAGUAUCUUUGAUGUGGAGGUAGAUACUGGAAGAGUAAUAACACGGGUCAACCUCAAUGAAGAACCCAAUACGACAUUUAAGCUGGUGGUUAUUGCCAGUGAUGAUGGGGAGCCUGUGAAGUUCAACAGUACUCUGGUUGAAAUAACAGUUCUGCAGCCUUCAGUGAUUCCAAUCUUCACACAAGAGGAAUAUAGGCCUCCUCCAGUUAGUGAAAAUGCUCCCAUAGGAACGAGGGUGGGUGUUAUACUUGCAGCCGCAAUCAAUCAAACCAUUCUGUAUUCCAUUGUUGCUGGAAAUGAAGACGAUAAAUUUGUCCUUGAUAAUAGCACAGGAGUCAUCUCUACUAAGAAGCUUUUAGACUACGAGACCGCUGUGAGCUACGUACUUCGAGUCCAAGCAGACUCCAUGCAUGUAGUAAGAUCCAACCUACGAGUUCCUUCAAAAACAAACACAGCAAAGGUGUUCAUCGAGGUUCAAGAUGAGAAUGACCACCCUCCUGUAUUUACGAAAACACUUUACCUGGGCGGUGUGGCAGAAGAUGCCAAAACAUUUACUUCAGUAUUGACAGUAAAGGCCUUGGACAAGGACACUGGGAAUUACAGUGCAAUGCAGUACCGGUUGAUUAUACCACCUUCAAACAAUGGAAAAGACGGGUUUGUGAUUGAGGCAUACACAGGAAUCAUCAAAUCUGCAAUCAUAUUCCGAAACCUCAGGAGGUCCUAUUUUAAGUUUGAAGUGAUUGCGACCGAUGACUAUGGAGCGGGACUGAGCAGUAGUGCCCAAGUUGUUAUCUCUGUGGUCAAUCAACUGGAUAUGCAAGUGGUUGUUUCCAAUGUUCCUCCUACUCUUGUGGAACAGAACAAAGAGCAGCUUAUCGGGAUUUUGGAGCGUUAUGUACAGGAUCAGGUUCCAGGGGCUAAAGUUGUUGUGGAGUCCAUCGGAGCACGGAGAUUCGGUGAUGGAUUUUCAGAAGAGGAUUAUUCCAAAUCAGAUCUGAUGGUCUAUGCAAUCGACCCUUUAACCAACCGGGCCAUAUCAAGACAAGAACUUUUUAAAUUCCUCGAUGGGAAGCUGCUGGAUAUCAAUAAAGAAUUCCAGCCCUACCUCGGCCAGGGAGGUCGUAUUCUGGAAAUCCGAACCCCCGACAUUGUGGCGAGUGUUAAGAAGGCAGCUCAGGCCGUAGGUUACACAGAGGGUGCUUUACUGGCCCUGGCAGUGAUCAUCAUUCUGUGCUGCAUCCCUGCUAUUUUUAUAGUCAUGGUCACCUACAAACAACGACAGGCAGAGUGUGCAAAGACAGCAAGAAUCCAAAUGGCAUUGCCAGCAGGCAAACCGGCCGGGGGUGCUGCCAAUAAUCUGUAUGAAGAACUUGGUGACAAUACCAUACUUUUUCUUCUCUACCAUUUUCAACAAAGCAGGGGAAAAAAAUCUGUUUUAGAAGAGGGAGAUCGGCAAAGACUCAUAAGCACGUGUGCAACACGUGCCAUUUCAGCUCACAAGAAAUCCAGUGUCAAUGGAUCAUUGUACAACAAACUCCCAAAGUCUGCUAGUAACAUUACAUUCUUGUCAGAUGAAAACCCAUUGACUACCAAUAACCCUUUGUAUGACGAAAGCAUUCUCAACAGCCCAGAGAGUGGUGGCCUCUCCCGAAAAAGAAAAGCCUUAUUUGGCAGACCUUCUUCCCAGAGACUGGGCUUGAAAGAUUCCCUUCUAAAGUUUCCUUCUGGAGGUCCUUCCCAUGCAUGGACAUUGCCAUCACGCAUGCACAGGUCAAUGUAUGAUGCUUUAAGUAGACAAGUUGUUAUGGAUCCAGUUCAGUGGGAGCUGGAGCUGCUUAGAGCAGAGCUAAGAGAAAGUAAAGAUCAGUGGAGCCAGGUUUGUAGCCCAAGAUGUAAAAAUGCUGAAACAAAGUUAACAGUUAAAGAACAGGCGAGGCAGUUUGAGCAACAGGCCUUGCAGGAAAUUAAGCAACUUCAAGCUUGCAAUUUGAAAGGACAGCAGUCCCCUUUGCCAUCGAAAUGCAGCCAUACUGAAAUGCAGGGAAGCAUGCUAGAUUUAGCUCCCGAUCACUUGCUUUCUUUACCAGGUCUCCAUUCCCGUCCUACUUUAUCUAUGUCUCCUGUUCCACAAUUGGACUUUCCUGCUCCUUCUAUUGUCAUUACUCUUUCUGAUGGCUCGCCACCCCCAGCUCGCAAACCAACUCCCCCUAUAUCCCAGAAGUCCAGCUUUGCAAACUCCACUUAUCGCGCAUUGGGACCAAAGAAGGUAGAAGCCGAGAUCAUUCCAGAACCUCCUAAUGUCCCCCCACCUCCCCCUCCACCUCCUUAUUUCUCUCCACCAUUUCCCCAUUCUCUGCCUCCUCCACCUCCUCCCCCACCACUCCCACCAUCUUUAUUAACUUCUUCUACUCUGCCUGUCUCUCCAUUGUUCUUGCCACCUUUUCCCUCUGUGUCCUCUCUACGGCCAGUGUCCUUAUCUCAGAAGGGACGCGCACCCUCUCCCCCUCAGGCAACCCAACCUUCAGUCCCCAGAAAGGAACUGAAGGGGAUUCUCAAAAGCAUCCAGAACUUAGCAGAAAUAGAAAAAUCUGUUGCCAAUAUGUACAGUCAAAUAGACCACAAGGUACCGAAGAAUGUCCCCAGGCCAAAAGUAACUAUCGAGCCUGAGGCACAAAAGACUGAAACUUCUGAGGAUCAAAGCCAGUCAAAUGGCAGCUUGAACUGUAUCAUUGAGGAGCUUGAAAAACGCUUUCCAUCUCAGUCAACUAUCUUAUAGUUCUGUCCUGUUCUCUUUCUUCUCAGCUUCAUUUGUGUCAUCUCUUCUUUUGCUUUUCAUGUUUGCCAUUGGUUGUAAAUAUUGUUUGCAUCUCUCUAAUUUAACUAAUCAAUUACAUUAACUGUUUUAUAUAUUAGAUAUAUCAUGUAUCAUUUUAUGUCCUGUUCAAACUGUUUUAUAUAUUAGAUGUAUCAUGUAUCAUGUAUCAUUUUAUGUCCAGGCUUAAGAUAUAGCUGUCUAGAAAUGCUUCAGAAAGUAUGGGCAGAGGACCACAUAUAGAAUAAAAAAUAUAUAGAUUUGGGUUGUUUUUGUAAAGAUUGAUAAAUUGUGUUGAAAUUAGUGCAAUAAUAGUCAAUUAACGACAUAUCAUUUAAUUAACGUCUCAAAUGUAUCAUUAUAGCUAGGGUCAAACUGAUAUUCAUAUCCCACAACAAUAUAUUCAAAUGUUAUAAUAGUGUUGCAUGGCAUUACAAUCUGGUACUAUGUCACUGUGAUUAAUUUGUGAGGGUAAUAUAAAGUUUUACUAACUGGUGCAUGUGUUUCUGCUUCUUUUCAUUGUAAUUUUCUGUGCCUUUACUGUUCAGUUGUCUGUACUGUAUUUACAGUUUCUAUCUGUUGUAGCUGGAGUCAAUUAUUCACCUGUGCAUCACUGAUAAGCUCAACACAUUCACUUAACUCUAUUUACAUGAAACAGACUUGCAGUAUAUAACACAUUUGAUUGUCUCUACUAAAAGGAUUAAUUGUCAUCAUUUUUAUAACCAUUUGGGGGGUGGAUGCAUCCAAAACAUACAGCUACACUUCAUGUCGUGUGUCAUUUCCCUGUUCUGUGGUGCUCCUCAAUCAAACUUCCAGACGCAGAAGGAACACACCACUGAAUUUUUCAUUUUUAUGGAUGAAGGUGACAUUUAAAAUUACACACUAUUCCCUAGCUUUGCUUUCCUAGUGCUCCUCUCCUAUUUAUUUCUGAUCUGUCUUAAAAUAUUUUUACAUGACAGUAAAAAAAAAAAAAAAAAAGUUGGUAUUUAGUCCUGCAUGCUGCUGUGCUACCCUUGAUUAGUUGACUAAUCAGUCAUGAAGCUGGUUGGCAGCAACUGUUUCCCAGGAAGUUCAAAUGUAAUCACACCAAGUGUAACUGUUGCUAAUUAAUAGUGUAUGCUGAGUAGUUAUGUGUAAUCACUGGCUUGCAUCAAAGGGUGUACAGCUUCAUUGCCUUUUUUUAUUAAGCAACACACAUUCGUUUCGAUAUUGACUUUCCUUCCCUUGAUUCAUGUAUACAUAUUUCUGACAAAAAAAACAGACACCCCCAAGGCCAUGUAUACAGUAUUUUCAUGAAUGGACUAGUCUAGUGUGUUUUUAAUUAUGUGUACAUAUAUAUUGAAUUUUGACGAAUGUACCAUAGGGCAUAUCUAGCAUAGAAAUGUAUAAUCUGCAUUAUUACAGGACUUGUAAGGCCAUGAAAAUGGAAAAGUCAGCUAGCAAUUGUCUUUUAGACAACUGAUUCUUUCUGAAGAGAAGUUUCCUGAAGUAUACAAUGGUGAAAUCAUAACAAAAUGUAAUGAAGCAUAGUCAAAGCUUGUUGCAUAAGGUAGGCGUGGCAAAGUACAAACAAACUGUAAAGCAUGGUAAAGAAUAAAAUAAACAAUAUGGUAAAGCACAGUCUAUGAAUAGUAUGAACAAAGCAUGGUUAACUGUCUAAUUGCCAUGCAGAUUUAACUUCUCUAAGGUUAAUACAGAUUUUUAACUUUUGCAGUUGAAGUGUUAGUGAAGUGCAGUUGAGUUAUAAAAUGCAUCACUUGCUAUCUGUGGAAUAGAAGUUACAUGAUGGCAGCCCAGCAGGACCUAUUUGUCUUUCAGUUUCGAUCUCAUUUAAUAGAUUAUUUAUCAUGCUUCCUGUCCAUUAGUGUAAUGCUUAGAACUUUACAGUCACAUAGUUUUGCCUUACAAACCGAUUAAGUAUGUAAGGUCAUCAAAAAAAAAAAAAAAAAAAAAAAGACAUUCAAAAGGUCUUAUGAAAGUCACAAAUUAUUGUUUAGUGAUCAAUCUUUGUUUGAAUUACUGAUUACUUUCACAUCAAAGGACAAUUGCAGUAAUUUGCCUCUGAUAAUCAACAACGUGUGUUGAAUUGGAAUUCAAAGACAUUACGCAUUGUGACAUUAAAAAUUAAUUUUUCUCUCCAAUGUAAUUAAAUGCUUUCCCUAGUCUGCUUUCUUUGAACUUGCUUGGUCUUGUCAUAAUAUUCAACAGCCUUCACUUUCUCCUUGCAACAUUGUCAUGUACAGUGAGCAUCAGUCAUGAAAUGAAAAUUAACUGUGUUUACAUACACUGGGUACUUUAGAAAGUAGAGUUUGUUAAACUGUGGUGUGUAUUUCUCACCACCCCUCAUUAAAAGUGUUGAAAUACCCCUUCAUUUAAAUUCAAUAACCCAAUCUAAAUAAUGUUUAAUAUAAGUACAACAAAGUUAUUUAAGAGUUAAAGGAAAUCGUGUAGCAGGUGACAUGAAGUGUGAUUAUAAAUAACAACACAGUGGAAAAUAGGGCCCUGUAUUAUCAUUUAACAUUGACACUUCUGAAAACUGAGCUUUGUUGAGCAUAUUGUUUUUUAAAUAUGGGAUUUACUUUAUGGAUGCAAUGAACAUGAAUACACAAUGGCUUUGUGACCUGUGUCAUUCCACUGUUCUAUGGUUCUAUUAAAAUUCCAUCUAGAAGUGGACAAGAACAGAAAAUAUGUUACUCCCUGAUGUGCUUAAGUGCAUAGGUUACAAUUACAAUGUGAAAUAUUGAUCACUGAUACCAAAAGAUCUAAUUUUCAAUGAGGUCCCUGAGGAAGAGGCCAAACAAUACUUGCUCAUUAGACCUGCAUGUGGUCGGAAACUCACAAUUACAAGGUAAUGUAUGUGCAGCGAAAAACUGUUUACUUCUGUAUCACUAAAUUAAGUCUGCUUUUUAUUAGGUUUGCUGAUAUAUUGAUUGAUUGAUUUUUCGUUUUGUUUUUCUAAAGGCGAGGAUAUGGGCAACAAGAGCAACUGCAAUUGCUAAGACCAUCUCUUCUGAGACCAGAGGUAC